UUUACUAAUGUCUCAUUAAUCUACCCAUUGUAAAGUUAAAUAUUCACUUUUGACUGAUCUCAUUUACAGGGUGGCUAUUGCUGCACUGGUUCUUGUGACAAGAUACCAUCUGAUUUCUUGGAAAGAUUCAGGAUCUCCAGCUGGAUCUGACAGAAGCAGAGUACGGUAAACAGAAGAGGAACUAUUCAAGAGGCAGCGUACAGCAGGCGGUAUGUACAUAAGAAAAGUUAUGAAUUUAGGGUAGACCAUAGAUGGGGGUGGGCAAACGUUUUGGC
RNAcentral lists this long non-coding RNA (275 nucleotides) under Chrysemys picta bellii (western painted turtle). Its description in RNAcentral is "lncRNA (ENSCPBG00000005690.1)". The record is from RNAcentral. Lineage: Eukaryota; Metazoa; Chordata; Testudines; Emydidae.